This 121-nucleotide small nucleolar RNA is filed under the name Zostera marina. RNAcentral's name for it is "Small nucleolar RNA snoR104". It matches the Rfam family "Small nucleolar RNA snoR104". Lineage: Eukaryota; Viridiplantae; Streptophyta; Magnoliopsida; Alismatales; Zosteraceae. The record is from Rfam by way of RNAcentral.
GGGUGGUUUGUGUAAGUAGACAUCACACCCGAUACAAUCUUCCCAAAAAGAGUACAAUCUGUUUCUUCCUGCUUGCAGUAUCGCAAGUAUGUUCUGCGAGUCUCAAAGAUACCGGACAUAA